AACGAACGCUGGCGGCAGGCUUAACACAUGCAAGUCGAACGCUCGACCUUCGGGUCGGGAGUGGCAGACGGGUGAGUAACGCGUGGGAACGUACCCUUCGGUUCGGAAUAACCCAGGGAAACUUGGGCUAAUACCGGAUACGUCCUGGCCUGGAGACAGGGUGGGAGAAAGGUUUACUGCCGAAGGAUCGGCCCGCGUCGGAUUAGCUAGUUGGUGGGGUAACGGCCCACCAAGGCGACGAUCCGUAGCUGGUCUGAGAGGAUGAUCAGCCACACUGGGACUGAGACACGGCCCAGACUCCUACGGGAGGCAGCAGUGGGGAAUAUUGGACAAUGGGCGAAAGCCUGAUCCAGCCAUGCCGCGUGAGUGAAGAAGGCCUUAGGGUUGUAAAGCUCUUUCAGCGGGGACGAUAAUGACGGUACCCGCA
Molecule: ribosomal RNA, 427 nt
Filed under: uncultured bacterium
Lineage: Bacteria
Description: bacterial SSU rRNA
Rfam family: Bacterial small subunit ribosomal RNA
Source: RNAcentral